CGCUGCUCAAGAAAAGACAAUAUCCUUUAAUAGUUUUAAAUUCUAUUUUAAAUUAACAAAAUAAAUGACAUUGCGAAUGGAUUGAAUUUGAUCAAGAUAAAACACUAUUCUAUGUCAUUGUAUAUACAUAAAAAGCAUACAAUGAGUAUCACAAAGGAAACAAAGUUAGUUGAUAUCGAGAUGGGAAUCCACCAAGUUAGAGGAUUACUUGAAGACAUAUUGAGAAAACAAGACGAAAAUAUCUUAAGUUUGACUGAACAGACAGUUUUAAUACAAGAAACGAUUAAAAACCUCCUUGUUGCAACUUCAGCAAACAUGUCUUCGACAUCACCAACACCUGAUGGCAAAAAAUGUGGUGCACCACUUUAUAUUCAACGGCUGAGACUUUCUUAGACUACAUGAAUUGCAUUUUAUUUUAUGUAGAAGGUUUGCAUAUGUAUUUGUCGUUUAUUGUUAUUUUUAUAACUUUUAUUAUCAUUUAUAUUACUUUUAUUUUUAUUACUAUUAUAAUGUUUCGUCUCGUUGGCAAUUUGUUUUUGUGUUAAUAAAUAUUUAUACAUUUUA
Mytilus trossulus (common blue mussel) is the source of this 564-nucleotide long non-coding RNA. RefSeq lists it as uncharacterized. The record is from RefSeq and is a predicted model, not a curated record. NCBI's taxonomy places the organism in Eukaryota, Metazoa, Mollusca, Bivalvia, Mytilida, Mytilidae. The transcript is spliced from 2 exons.